GUUGGCCUGCGAUUAGCACACACCCAUCCCUGGGAACUGCUAGUCUGGAAAGCGGGGCUGCUUCUCCGGGAUGAGCCCGAGCCCUGCCAAGCCCCUCAAGGCAUUGAAGCUUUAGCUCACCUUAUCCGAAUGGUCAUUGGGCAUCUGGACUUGAGUUAACGACUGAAUUUUUCUGGGAAGCAAGGGACACGUUCUAAAAUAACCCCAGGAUCACUCUCCGAACUUGGCCUGAGUCUAGGCAAGCAGUGUUACUCGGUCGCCUUGAUCUUGGAGCUGCUGUGUACUGGGGACCUCAUACUAGUUGGGUUAACUAUAUUCCCAUUAGCAGUACGCGGGAUCGCAGUACUCGGGACAAGCUGAGUUCAGCUGCUAUGAGUAACACGAUCUGGAAAGACAGCGCUAGCAAGGAAUGAGGAGUGAUACAGUGACUGGAGGCUAAGAGAUAAUGUCUGCAAGUCACCUAAAACCAUUGCAGACACAGGGAGAUUGAUGGAUUUGGAGGACUUCUGGUUGUGAAGACUCUGACGAUUGCUAAAGAGUUAAGUGAAAUACUA
This 554-nucleotide long non-coding RNA is filed under the name Homo sapiens (human). RNAcentral's name for it is "non-protein coding lnc-C2CD5-3:2". Lineage: Eukaryota; Metazoa; Chordata; Mammalia; Primates; Hominidae. The record is from RNAcentral.